RNAcentral lists this ribosomal RNA (417 nucleotides) under uncultured microorganism. RNAcentral's name for it is "bacterial SSU rRNA". It matches the Rfam family "Archaeal small subunit ribosomal RNA", at positions 330 to 745 of the family's 1478-position model. The record is from RNAcentral.
GCGCACCAGUCGCGAAUACUUUACAAUGUGCGAAAGCACGAUAAGGGAACUCUGAGUGCCUCCUAAGGAGGCUGUUCAGGUGUCUAAAAGCACCUGGAGUAAGGGCUGGGUAAGACCGGUGCCAGCCGCCGCGGUAACACCGGCAGCCCAGGUGGUAGCCACUUUUAUUGGGUCUAAAGCGUCCGUAGCCGGGUUGAGUAAGUUCCUUGGGAAAUUUGGCUGCUCAACAGUCAAGCUUCCAGGGGAAUACUGCUCGACUUGGGACUGGGAGAGGUCAGAGGUACUCCAGGGGUAGGGGUGAAAUCCGAUUAAUCCCUGGGGGGACCACCGGUAGCGAAGGCGUCUGACCAGACCAGGUCCGACGGUGAGGGACGAAGGCUAGGGGUCGCGAACCCGGGAUUAGAUACCCCCCGUAGU